CCGCCACCACCCCCUCCCCAAGCAGCCAUGUACAGCAGGGCGGCGCCCACGCGCCUGGCCUAUGUAGGUCUCGGCCUCCCUCCUCCCUUCGUCCAAGGCCAGGAGCUCCCCCUCCCCGACCCGAUCUGGUGGAGAGAGGGCCAGGCCUUGCCACUCCGGUGGUCGCUGUGGCCAGAUCUGUCCGGGGUAGUCGCCGUAGAGCCUCUAUGGCGGCGGAGUAGCAGCAGCCCGACAGAAGGUGGGUGCCAGAUCGUCGUCCAGCAGCUCGCCGUCGGAGCUUCUCACUACAGGCGAUGGAGGCCGGUGCUACUCGGUCUAUCUAUGAUGUAGGGAUGAUGCUGCGGAUGGGAUGGGAAGAUGUGUGUGUGUGUGUGCUAGCUGCUUCACAUACGACUCAGAGAAAGAAUUGCUUUGCAGGUUGCCAACAUCACGAAUUUCAUACUUAUGGAGUGGAGCCACCAAACAAUUUAUGAGAUUUCCGCCAUGGACGCCGCCUCGCUCAUGGGCUCCUCCUCCGCCGACGCGCGCACCGACGGGGAGCACCGGAUGGGCAUCACCAUCAUGGGCGUCUGCUACGACGGCGGCGUCCUCGCCGCUGACACUCAGGACCAGCACCGAGAGGUUCCACGACUUCGGUUUGGCUAUGAUCAAAAUUGGAGGAGAGCCCGAUGCAUUGGAGAGCAUCAUCCGCGAGUUCCACAGGAUCGAAUUGAGGAGGCAUUAUAACCUGGCAUCAUUUGGAUGACUUUGUCAGUAGGAAGAAUGGCUAACAUGCCUGUUAAAGCUAGAUAAACGCGUAUUGAAGGAACUGGGGUAUGUCCGCCAUGUUGAACACCCUCACAAUGACGGGUACCAUACAAUGUUAGCGAGAACAGUGAUUGGGGGAUUGAUAUUUUCGAAGUAAAGAGGUGCUUGGAGGAGGCACGCGUCGCAGGUUUGACUGUUUGGGCUAUGGUGAUCAUAAACCCCGGAUAACCGACGGAACAGCUUUGCUGUAGGUACUUUCUGUGACCAACCAGGAGGAGAUAGUAGAAUUUUGUCGAAAAAAAGGUUUGGUUAUGCUUGCCGAUGAAGUUUGCACUUGGUGAACUGCGGUAGUUUUGUGACGCGGACGCGUGUGUAGACAUCCUACAUUUGUAUAAAUGCGUUUACAGGUAUACCAAGACAAGCUCUAUAUGGAGGACAUGAAGUUCAAUUCUUUCAGGAAAGUUGCCAGAUCACUUGGGUAUGACGAGAAUGGUAUAUCCAUAGUGUCAUUUCAUUGGGGGGGUACUCUGGAGUAUGUGGCAGAAGGGGAAGCUACUUGUUGAUAUGUAAAAUUCCCUUCACGACUCGUUUAGGAAUAACAGAGUUUUGGAGAUGAUGUGAUGGGUGAGAUUCGCAAGGUGGCUUCUGUGACUCUUUGCCCCAACAUAAAUGGUGACUUGCGAUGGAUCCACCGAAGUAUAGAUCUGCGAUUGACAUUUUUAUUGGACCACUGGGUGAGCAUUUGCAACAAAGAGCCAGGGAGUAAGCUGGGAGCGGACAAACAUAAUGCCCUGAACAUGAGUUUGUCCUUGCAUAAUUAUCCAUGUCUGAUGGUAGGAAGAGACAGGAUCAGAUCGCUCACCAGUGAUGAAGACGUGGUAGUACCGUAGUAGGGUGUGGUAGAUGAACAUGUCUUUAUUUUCUGAAUCGCUUAAUAUUAUAUGAUAUUGUACUGACAAGUAGGAGGUGAUUGCUGAUGGGUGAUUCUAGAUUCUUGAGUGAAUACUAGCUACCAUGUUAUCCUAAGUGCUGUCAACUAUUCAAUUACAAAUAAAAACUCAAGAACGUA
Aegilops tauschii subsp. strangulata is the source of this 1816-nucleotide non-coding RNA. The record is from RefSeq and is a predicted model, not a curated record. Lineage: Eukaryota; Viridiplantae; Streptophyta; Magnoliopsida; Poales; Poaceae.